This 65-nucleotide non-coding RNA is filed under the name Amphora coffeiformis. The record is from RNAcentral. Lineage: Eukaryota; Bacillariophyta; Bacillariophyceae; Surirellales; Surirellaceae.
AUCAUAUAUUAGGGCUUGCUUGAUACUACGCAUUCAUUCGACAAAAACAAUUCCUUUUCUGUUUC